Biomphalaria pfeifferi is the source of this 586-nucleotide non-coding RNA. Lineage: Eukaryota; Metazoa; Mollusca; Gastropoda; Planorbidae. The record is from the annotation of a GenBank genome assembly.
CAACAGAUCAAACAUCAAAUCAGUCUACAGAUCAGUCUAUACAUCCAUCUGCAGAAUGAUAGCAAGAAAAGAACUUUGUUAAUUCCAAAACUCAUCCUACAUUUUAUAAUCUACUAGUCGAGUGAGAUCCAUCAAGACUGCUCCCUGGACAUUCUGUGCAAAGAUUUCUCUGAUGUAGAACUCUGCCAGGAUCACAUUAACAGCAUGUUCUUGUCCAAACUUUCAAUAGCAUUGAUUCUUCUUAUAUGAAUGAGAUUUUAGGCCCUGGCUCAGAUGUCCAAAUGGUUCGAGGCAAGCACGCCUUUUUUAUGAACCAUGUGACCCGAGAAAGGCUUUUAUCUCGUGGCCAGGAUGAGAAAUUGGCUCUUCACCGACCUCUCUGUCAGGAGGCCCACGUCGACUAAGUGAUCAUUUAUUCACACCCGUCUUGGCAUGUUGCACGUUCUUCCGAACCUCUGCAUGAAUUCCUCCUUUCAUGUGUGGCUGGAAGCUCAAGCCCCACGUGGGGGCCAUCCUUAUGCCUAUGCUGUCCCAUCGUACCCGUGAUGGGACAAUCACCAUACGUAUGGGCCCCUUUGUAAACGGG